RNAcentral lists this long non-coding RNA (3060 nucleotides) under Phocoena sinus (vaquita). Its description in RNAcentral is "lncRNA (ENSPSNG00000015459.1)". The record is from RNAcentral. Lineage: Eukaryota; Metazoa; Chordata; Mammalia; Artiodactyla; Phocoenidae.
GCCCCUCGCGUUGGCCGCGGCGCCAUUGUGCUCGGGAGGAGCGUUUCCCCCUGGCAACCAGGGCUCGCAGGGCCUCCCGUGCGCUGCCCAGCGCCAGGUUUUGCUGACCCCGGAUCAGAGGACGUAGGCGGAGCGGGCUUGUUGGCCGCGUGCGUCAGGGCGUGAGGGGAGAGGCGGCUGCUCUUUCCCGGAGGCCUCCGGCUGCAGGGUGUAGGGUGGGCCUCCUCCCUCCCCCACUCGCGCCGUUUGCCCUUUUUAUCGCCUUGCUGCUUUCGUCCCGGUCAAUAGUUUUCUUGACUGUGUAAUGUGUGCUGGACGGUAUUCUAGGUGCUGUGGGGGGGUAACAGAGUGGAUCUGAUAAGGACCCUCGCCCAGUAUCGUAGGUGUUUUAGGCGUAGGGAAGAAGAGAUAUAAUACGAGGUGGAAAGUGCUAGAAGCCUUUAGAAAGCUAUCUGAUUGGUGCGAUGGCAACUGAGGAAAAGCAAGAGUCAGUCCACCCUUCGGGCACACGACACUGUGCUGAGACUGCAGGCCCUCAGGGCAAUUUUGAAAACUCAAACUUCGUUGAGCAGUGGUGUCCAGCCUUUGAGAGGACUCCUUUAUUCUGAAAGAUGUCCACAACUGUUUUCUCGUAUCCAGUUCUCGCCCCCUGCCUAGAUACCAGCCUGCACCUAUGGCCUCAUAGGAAGUUCCCUGUGAUCAGUUGACAGAGGAUGAGAAAACUUGGGCCUGGUUUACUGAUGGUUCUUCAGGACAUGCAGGCUCCACCUAAAAGUGGACAGCUGUAGUACUAUAGAUCCUUUCUGGGACAUUCCUGAAGGAUAAUGGUAAAAGGAAAUCCUCCCAGUGGGCAGAACUUCAAGCAAUGCAACUGGUUUUUCAUUUUGCUUAGAAAGAGAAAAGGCCUGAUGAGUGAUUAUAUGCCAGUUCAUGGGCUAUGGCCAGUGCUUUGGCUGGAUGGUCAUGGACUUGGAAGAAACAAGAUUAGAAAAUUGGUGACAAGGAAGUCUUGGAAAGAGAUACAUGGAUUGACCUCUCUGAAUGGGUGAACAACGUGAAGAUAUUUGUGUCCCAUGUGAAUGCUCACCAAAGGGCGACCUCAGCAGAGGAAGAUUUUCGUAAGUGGCUAGAAUAAUUCAUUCUGUGGAUACCAGUUGGCCUCCUUCCCUAGCCAUCCCUGUCAUUGCCCAGUGAAGUUAUGAAAAAAGUGGCCCUGGGGGCAGGGAUGGAGGUUAUGCAUGGGAUCAGCAACAUGGGCUUCCAUUCACCAAGGCUAACUUGACUACCCCCACCGCUGAGUGCUCAAUCACAGCACUGAGAUUGAGUGAUACGACACUCAGUCCCUGAUAUGACACCAUUCUCUGGGGUGAUCAGCCAGCUACGUGGUGGUAGGUUGAUUACACUGCACCGUACGUCUGUCAUGGAAGGGGCAACGUUUUGUUAUUGGAAUAGACACUCUGGAUAUGGAUUUGCUUUCCCUGCAUACAAUGUUCUGCCAAAACUACCAUCCGUGGACUUAGAGAAUGCCUUAUCCACCAUCAUGGUAUUCCACACAGCAUUGCUUCUGUUCAAAGAACUCAUUUGCUAGCAAAGGAAGUGCAGCAAUGGGCCCAUGCUCAUGGAAUUCACUGAUGUUACCAUGUUCCCCACCCUCCUGAAGCAGCUUGAUAGAAUGGCAGAAUGGCUUUUCGAAGACUCAGUUAUUGGGCUAGCUAGGUGGCAGUCCCUUGCAGGGCUGGGAAAAAGUUCUCCAGGAGGCUUACAUGCUCUGAAUCAAUGUCCAAUAUACGGUGCUGUUGCUCCCACAGCCAGGAUUCACAGGUAUCUAGGAGUAGAAAUGAGAGUGGCACCCCUAGUGACCCACUAGUAAAAAUUUCGCUACCUGUCCUCAUGACCUUAUGUUCUACUAGCCUACAGGUCUUUGUUCCAAAGGGAGAAAUGCUUCUACUAGGAGACACAAUAAUAAUUCCAUGGAACUGGAAAUUAAUACUGCCACUCAGCCACUUUGAGCUCCUCAUGCCUCUGGGUCAACAGGGAAAGAAGAGUUUUACUGGGCUGACUGGGGUGAUUGAUCCUGACUACCAGAGGGAAAUUGAGGCAUUCCCUGGCACCCAGUGGUUAAGACUCAGCGUUUUCACUGCAGGGCCCCACGUUCGAUCCCUGGUUAGGGAACUGGGAUGCUGCAAGCUGCACGGUGCAGACAAAAACAGCAACAACAACAACAAAACAAACAAAAAAAAAACAAAGGGAAAUUGGACUACUCCUCCACAACACAGAUAUGUCUGGGAUACAAGAGAUCCCACAGGGUGUCUCUUAGUAUUACCAUGCCUGUGAUUAAAGUCAGUGGAAAACUAUAACAACUCAAUUUAGGCAGGAUUACUAAUGGCCCAGGACCCUUCAGGCAUGAAGAUUUGGGCCACUCCAACAAAUAAAAAACUGUGACUUGCUGAAGUGCUUGCUGAGGGCAACAGGAACACCGUAUGGGAGUAGAAGAAGGUAGUUCUAAAUACCAUCAGCAACCACACGACCAGUUACAGAAACGAGGACUGUAUUUGUCAAGUAUUUUUUCCUUAUGUUAUUAUUAAUACAUGUGCGUGUGUCUUGAGCAAAUAUCUUUGUUUUCUUCUCUCUCUUAUUCCUUUAUCAUGUAACAUAAUCAUGUAACAUUAUUGACUUUAUGUCAUAGUAUUUAUUGUUAACUUUAUAGCAUAGUUUUUAAGUUAUGGGAUAUCAGGAAGAAGAAUAAACAUCACCCAAGGACUUUGCAUCCUCUUCUGGGGAAAGGGUUAGGGUGUUUUCAGUUGUCUAUGCAGGAGAGUUGUAUCAUGUUAGGCAAAAUUAUGACCUCGUUACUGUCUUUAUUCGAUUAUUAAAUUUGAGGAGAUGCAUACGAGUGCCAACUAGACAAGGGGUGGACUUGUGAUGGUUAUGUGUUAACCUGACUGGGCCACAGUACACAGAUACAUGGACAAACAUUAUUCUGGAUGUUUCUGUGAAGGUGUGUUUUGGAUACGAUUAACACUUAACUCAGUGGACUUUGAGUAAAGCAGAUUAUGCUGU